Long non-coding RNA from Pieris brassicae (large cabbage white), 1182 nucleotides. RefSeq lists it as uncharacterized. NCBI's taxonomy places the organism in Eukaryota, Metazoa, Arthropoda, Insecta, Lepidoptera, Pieridae. The transcript is spliced from 3 exons. The record is from RefSeq and is a predicted model, not a curated record.
UACAAGUAAAUUAUAUUGAUUAGCAAAAGCAAUAAUAAAUCUAAAACUAGCUAUUCUUGCAACAGGUGCAAAAGUCUCAUUAUAGUCUAUGAGAUAUUCCUGGCUAAAAGCCCUAGCAACGAGUCGAGCUUUAUAGCGUAAAGGCUUUCCGAAUUCAUCAUUUUUUAUAUUAAACAUCCAUUUGCAAUCUAUAAUAUUUUUGUUAUCUGGCCGUGGUACUAAAGUCCAAUUUUUUAUUUAAAAAUAGAGAAUUUAAUUGCACCUUCCCAAUGAACUCUAUCGUCUCGUGUUUUAAACUGAAAGAUCAUCAGAAUGUGCAUUUGGUUGUUCAAAUUCGACGAUGUCAUGGUUAGUUUUGCGAAUUUUCUGAGGAACUUCAUAAUCAUCAGAUUUACAGGUAUCUGAUUUAUAUCUGUCAGUUUUUUGAGACUUUAUUGACUUUGAAAUGUUGUCAAUGUUAACAUUAUCAUGAGAAUUUACUAUAUUCUCUUCAGGUCGCAACGCAGGCCUGGAUUGAAGUAAUUUGUCUCAUCUACUAUGACAUCUCUGACAGUAAUAAAUAUUUCGCAUUUAGGAUUCCAAACUUUAUAACCGUUUGGUUCGUAUCCCACAAGAAUACCUUUCCAUGACUUAACAUCGAAUUUUGUCUUAUAUAACUUAUCAUGCACAUAAACUGUUGAACCAAAAAAAUUUAAAUAUUUUAUUUGUGUUUUUUUGUUAUGCCACAUUUACGAAUUCAAUCAUCAUGUGACGUAAUUGGUGAAUAAUAUCGUAAUUGAAAAGGAUAUUUCUCUUUAAAUGUACAAGCUGUGUGUGAUGCAGAAAUAAAAUAUAUUAAUGUUGUUCCCCAUGGCCUGGUGCCGCUCAUGAUGCAACAACUUUUGUAAACUCAGUUCUACAAGUUAAUUCAAAUUUAUUGAUAAGAAGGUGGAACUUGAUAAAUGUGCCAACUAAAUUAACAGGUAUAUUUGUUUAUAGCUUAAUAUCGUACAGGUCUACUGAGAAAUCACUGGAUGGUUGUUAAUAGGGCUUACUCAAAUAUACCUUAUUCAUUAACACCAUUUCUCUGACUGACCAGAGAUAUGAUGAAGUACACAUUAAGAAUAGGAAUACUAUAGAGAGAUAUACCGGCAGAAGUUUUAGUUCCAACACUUGAUACAGUUUCAAGUCAAGAAGUUAAUG